Long non-coding RNA from Ficedula albicollis (Collared flycatcher), 279 nucleotides. RefSeq lists it as uncharacterized. The transcript has 3 exons. NCBI's taxonomy places the organism in Eukaryota, Metazoa, Chordata, Aves, Passeriformes, Muscicapidae. The record is from RefSeq and is a predicted model, not a curated record.
CCAAACAUCCAAUUUGAAUCUACACAUGGGACAAAAAAAUUUAAAAAUACAAGUGCAAUAGGUGCAAAAGCUGUCUCUUCAAUACAGCAAAUUAAGAAAGAAUUGUGGCUAGAACUACAGGGACACUUCAGAGUUAACACAGACUGGUAGAGAAGUCAGGAUGUAUUGACAGUAUUUGGUUCUCAAAGCAGGCUGCUUGCACGGCUAAAUUGCAUAAGCUCAUGUUCUGAUGCUGCUGAAACGGAGGAGUGGAAAAUGUUACUGCACACUUCAGCUUCU